UGGGGAAUAUUGCACAAUGGGCGCAAGCCUGAUGCAGCCAUGCCGCGUGUAUGAAGAAGGCCUUCGGGUUGUAAAGUACUUUCAGCGAGGAGGAAGGCGUUGUGGUUAAUAACCGCAACGAUUGACGUUACUCGCAGAAGAAGCACCGGCUAACUCCGUGCCAGCAGCCGCGGUAAUACGGAGGGUGCAAGCGUUAAUCGGAAUUACUGGGCGUAAAGCGCACGCAGGCGGUCUGUCAAGUCGGAUGUGAAAUCCCCGGGCUCAACCUGGGAACUGCAUCCGAAACUGGCAGGCUAGAGUCUUGUAGAGGGGGGUAGAAUUCCAGGUGUAGCGGUGAAAUGCGUAGAGAUCUGGAGGAAUGCCGGUGGCGAAGGCGGCCCCCUGGACAAAGACU
RNAcentral lists this ribosomal RNA (394 nucleotides) under uncultured bacterium. RNAcentral describes it as "partial 16S ribosomal RNA". It matches the Rfam family "Bacterial small subunit ribosomal RNA", at positions 355 to 741 of the family's 1533-position model. The record is from RNAcentral.